RNAcentral lists this ribosomal RNA (492 nucleotides) under uncultured bacterium. Its description in RNAcentral is "partial 16S ribosomal RNA". It matches the Rfam family "Bacterial small subunit ribosomal RNA", at positions 29 to 507 of the family's 1533-position model. The record is from RNAcentral.
AGUGAACGCUGGCGGUAGGCCUAACACAUGCAAGUCGAACGGCAGCACAGUAAGAGCUUGCUCUUACGGUUGGCGAGUGGCGGACGGGUGAGGAAUACAUCGGAAUCUACUUUUUCGUGGGUGAUAACGUAGGGAAACUUACGCUAAUACCGCAUACGACCUACGGGUGAAAUCAGGGGAUCUUCGGACCUUGCGCGAUUGAAUGAGCCGAUGUCGGAUUAGCUAGUUGGCGGGGUAAAGGCCCACCAAGGCGACGAUCCGUAGCUGGUCUGAGAGGAUGAUCAGCCACACUGGAACUGAGACACGGUCCAGACUCCUACGGGAGGCAGCAGUGGGGAAUAUUGGACAAUGGGCGCAAGCCUGAUCCAGCAAUACCGCGUGGGUGAAGAAGGCCUUCGGGUUGUAAAGCCCUUUUGUUGGGAAAGAAAAGCAGCAGGUUAAUACCCCGCUGUUCUGACGGUACCCAAAGAAUAAGCACCGGCUAACUUCGUG